This 521-nucleotide ribosomal RNA is filed under the name uncultured Pseudomonadota bacterium. Its description in RNAcentral is "bacterial SSU rRNA". It matches the Rfam family "Bacterial small subunit ribosomal RNA", at positions 199 to 702 of the family's 1533-position model. Lineage: Bacteria; Pseudomonadati; Pseudomonadota. The record is from RNAcentral.
GACCAAAGAGGGGGACCUUCGGGCCUCUUGCCAUCAGAUGUGCCCAGAUGGGAUUAGCUAGUAGGUGGGGUAACGGCUCACCUAGGCGACGAUCCCUAGCUGGUCUGAGAGGAUGACCAGCCACACUGGAACUGAGACACGGUCCAGACUCCUACGGGAGGCAGCAGUGGGGAAUAUUGCACAAUGGGCGCAAGCCUGAUGCAGCCAUGCCGCGUGUAUGAAGAAGGCCUUCGGGUUGUAAAGUACUUUCAGCGGGGAGGAAGGGAGUAAAGUUAAUACCUUUGCUCAUUGACGUUACCCGCAGAAGAAGCACCGGCUAACUCCGUGCCAGCAGCCGCGGUAAUACGGAGGGUGCAAGCGUUAAUCGGAAUUACUGGGCGUAAAGCGCACGCAGGCGGUUUGUUAAGUCAGAUGUGAAUCCCCGGGCUCAACCUGGGAACUGCAUCUGAUACUGGCAAGCUUGAGUCUCGUAGAGGGGGGUAGAAUUCCAGGUGUAGCGGUGAAAUGCGUAGAGAUCUGGA